RNAcentral lists this ribosomal RNA (1405 nucleotides) under uncultured bacterium. RNAcentral describes it as "bacterial SSU rRNA". It matches the Rfam family "Bacterial small subunit ribosomal RNA". The record is from RNAcentral.
GAGUUUGAUCAUGGCUCAGGACGAACGCUGGCGGCGUGCCUAAUACAUGCAAGUAGAACGCUGAAGAGAGGAGCUUGCUCUUCUUGGAUGAGUUGCGAACGGGUGAGUAACGCGUAGGUAACCUGCCUUGUAGCGGGGGAUAACUAUUGGAAACGAUAGCUAAUACCGCAUAACAAUGGAUGACACAUGUCAUUUAUUUGAAAGGGGCAAUUGCUCCACUACAAGAUGGACCUGCGUUGUAUUAGCUAGUAGGUGAGGUAACGGCUCACCUAGGCGACGAUACAUAGCCGACCUGAGAGGGUGAUCGGCCACACUGGGACUGAGACACGGCCCAGACUCCUACGGGAGGCAGCAGUAGGGAAUCUUCGGCAAUGGGGGCAACCCUGACCGAGCAACGCCGCGUGAGUGAAGAAGGUUUUCGGAUCGUAAAGCUCUGUUGUAAGUCAAGAACGAGUGUGAGAGUGGAAAGUUCACACUGUGACGGUAGCUUACCAGAAAGGGACGGCUAACUACGUGCCAGCAGCCGCGGUAAUACGUAGGUCCCGAGCGUUGUCCGGAUUUAUUGGGCGUAAAGCGAGCGCAGGCGGUUUGAUAAGUCUGAAGUUAAAGGCUGUGGCUCAACCAUAGUUCGCUUUGGAAACUGUCAAACUUGAGUGCAGAAGGGGAGAGUGGAAUUCCAUGUGUAGCGGUGAAAUGCGUAGAUAUAUGGAGGAACACCGGUGGCGAAAGCGGCUCUCUGGUCUGUAACUGACGCUGAGGCUCGAAAGCGUGGGGAGCGAACAGGAUUAGAUACCCUGGUAGUCCACGCCGUAAACGAUGAGUGCUAGGUGUUGGAUCCUUUCCGGGAUUCAGUGCCGCAGCUAACGCAUUAAGCACUCCGCCUGGGGAGUACGACCGCAAGGUUGAAACUCAAAGGAAUUGACGGGGGCCCGCACAAGCGGUGGAGCAUGUGGUUUAAUUCGAAGCAACGCGAAGAACCUUACCAGGUCUUGAUAUCCCGAUGCUAUUUCUAGAGAUAGAAAGUUACUUCGGUACAUCGGUGACAGGUGGUGCAUGGUUGUCGUCAGCUCGUGUCGUGAGAUGUUGGGUUAAGUCCCGCAACGAGCGCAACCCCUAUUGUUAGUUGCCAUCAUUCAGUUGGGCACUCUAGCGAGACUGCCGGUAAUAAACCGGAGGAAGGUGGGGAUGACGUCAAAUCAUCAUGCCCCUUAUGACCUGGGCUACACACGUGCUACAAUGGUUGGUACAACGAGUUGCGAGUCGGUGACGGCAAGCUAAUCUCCUAAAGCCAAUCUCAGUUCGGAUUGUAGGCUGCAACUCGCCUACAUGAAGUCGGAAUCGCUAGUAAUCGCGGAUCAGCACGCCGCGGUGAAUACGUUCCCGGGCCUUGUACACACCGCCCGUC